This 497-nucleotide ribosomal RNA is filed under the name uncultured bacterium. RNAcentral's name for it is "partial 16S ribosomal RNA". It matches the Rfam family "Bacterial small subunit ribosomal RNA", at positions 28 to 507 of the family's 1533-position model. The record is from RNAcentral.
GAUGAACGCUGGCGGCGUGCCUAAUACAUGCAAGUCGAGCGAACGGACGAGAAGCUUGCUUUUCUGAUGUUAGCGGCGGACGGGUGAGUAACACGUGGAUAAUCUACCUAUAAGACUGGGAUAACUUCGGGAAACCGGAGCUAAUACCGGAUAAUAUUUUGAACCGCAUGGUUCAAUAGUGAAAGACGGUCUUGCUGUCACUUAUAGAUGGAUCCGCGCUGCAUUAGCUAGUUGGUAAGGUAACGGCUUACCAAGGCAACGAUGCAUAGCCGACCUGAGAGGGUGAUCGGCCACACUGGAACUGAGACACGGUCCAGACUCCUACGGGAGGCAGCAGUAGGGAAUCUUCCGCAAUGGGCGAAAGCCUGACGGAGCAACGCCGCGUGAGUGAUGAAGGUCUUCGGAUCGUAAAACUCUGUUAUUAGGGAAGAACAUAUGUGUAAGUAACUGUGCACAUCUUGACGGUACCUAAUCAGAAAGCCACGGCUAACUACGUG